Daktulosphaira vitifoliae (grape phylloxera) is the source of this 579-nucleotide long non-coding RNA. RefSeq lists it as uncharacterized. The record is from RefSeq and is a predicted model, not a curated record. The transcript has 2 exons. Lineage: Eukaryota; Metazoa; Arthropoda; Insecta; Hemiptera; Phylloxeridae.
AUAAAAUACAAUUCACUGUUUACAAUAAUAGAUUAUAAGUAAUAUUAACAGUAAUAAUUACUGUCUAUAUUAAUUAAUACUAAUAAUUUAACAUAUAUAAAAUUUCUACUAAUUAACCAAAACAGUUUUAUAACAUUUUGAACUUUAAUUUUCAUACUAGGCGAUGACACCGAAGGUAGUAACAGACCACCAAUAUUCUACAAUUUUUUUCCAUAAACAAUGAUUAGUCGUGGAAAUAUUACAUAAUGUAUUAGUGUGUAUACAAGGUGAGUCUGCCAUGUUCUAACAACAAUAAAUAUUGAUAUUGUCUAUAUUUUACAGUAUAAAUAUUAUUUUAGUAAUUGUUAUACGUUAGAAUAUUAAAAUUUUACUAAAAAUAUAGCUUUUCUAUUUAUAAAAAAAAAAUAUAUGUAUAUUUUUCAUUUUCGAAAAAUGAAAAGGCCAUAUAAUAUUGAUGUAAUUUUUUGUUUAUUAUUACAGUUAUUUAUAACAUUGUAAACUGAGUUAACUGAGUUAAAUCAACUGUAUGGCUCAUUAACAUUUUUCUAAUAAAUUAAUAAAUAUAUUAAGUGAAUAGCA